Caerostris darwini is the source of this 112-nucleotide non-coding RNA. Lineage: Eukaryota; Metazoa; Arthropoda; Arachnida; Araneae; Araneidae. The record is from the annotation of a GenBank genome assembly.
UACGGCCGUACCGCACUGAAUAUACCGGUUCUCGUUAGAUCACCGAAGUUAAGCAUCAUUGGGCGCGGUCAGUACUUGGGUGGGUGACCACCUGGGAACACUGCGUGCCGUU